Molecule: long non-coding RNA, 2640 nt
Filed under: Echeneis naucrates (live sharksucker)
Lineage: Eukaryota; Metazoa; Chordata; Actinopteri; Carangiformes; Echeneidae
Description: lncRNA (ENSENLG00000011256.1)
Source: RNAcentral
CUCAAACACGGAGGAUCACUUCCCUGUGGUCAAACCAUGUAGCAGAGUUACAUCAACCAACAAUGCAAAGUUCAAGGAUCUGGACCCCGCCAUGACAAGGCUGUUGAAGCAGGCAGAGCUCCCUCUGGAAGAGUUGAAGGACAGAGAUAUUGCUGAGGUUGUUGACUGUAUUAUAAAUAAAUUUGGAGGAAUAACGGCUGUGCAAAAAGUGCUAAGACAUAAAGACUCAGUGUCCGAGACACUAACAAAACCAGAAGGAUGUCAUCAUCUCCCAGCAGAAGAGACAGAACCAACUUCAGAUUCCUCCUCCAAAUUCUCCCGUUCCAGAGUUGAUCAGAAAGAGUGCAAGUUUUAAACUUGUAAGUAGAUCAGGAUACACACAAUUUCAGUUCUAUGAUAUAGAAUGAUGUGCAAUGUGCUCUUUGAGCUUCACUUUCCUUUGUGGUAUUAGGUGAGCUCCUCACCAGAUCCAGAAAACGGGGACGACAUCCUGACUGUGCUGACAAAAGCAUUACAAAACCAGCUGCCCCAGCAAAACACAAGCACAAAUGGAAGUAAAAUGCUCAAGAUGGCACCUUGCACCUUGAAGAAAUAUUGAUCUUUAAGAAUGAUAUAAUUAGGAUUUGUGAUCAUGGGUGGCAUGGUGUAAUGCUGGUUACUGUUGUUGACCCACAACAAGAAGGGUCUGGGUUCGAUUCUGGGAAUCUCCAAUAGUGUUUCUGUGCUACAUUGCUAAACUGUGGAAUUAGCAGAUAAAAGAAAAUGUUGAGGGCGUUUAGGGAUUACAAAUUUGGGAACACACCAUGUGAACAGAUCCCUCCUGAAGGCAGAUAAUUAAUGCAAACCCACUUUGGCUAGUAUUGUACUGAUAGUGUAGCAGCCAUAAUCAAUACAUUUGUUCUGACUUUCGGCUUAAAGUCGGCUAUAAAAAGCGUCGGCCCUUCACCGAUCAUCCUCCCUGAACACGGCCUCAGUUUCUGGAGAAUCCAGUGCUCUUCGGAGGGAGAGUGAUCUGUUAUAUUCUCUAUGAGCGAUAGGCUGCAGAUCCUCAGCUGAGGGAAUGUGUUACAUAUGCAAGCUUAUUGGCCAUAUGGAAGUAAUGGGACCAAACGAAGCCAUGUAUUUACAGUAACGCAGCCAUCAGCAGCAGUGUUUCACCCAAUAAUAAUAAUUAAAAAAAACACCAAUCACAGGAUGUGUUUUAUUAUUUAUUCAAGUCUGCCUUUCCUGGGAAAAUGAAAAGUCAUAAGUAUAAAAUGCCAAUCAUGCUUAACAAAACAUUUUAAAGUACCAUUUACUGCAGGCCCUUUUCCUCAUACUCCAGUUGCUCAAUCUCAAAUUUUAGUUUCUUGAUUUGCAACUUUUUUCUGAUUAUCCAGCACUAGAUUUCAUUUAUAAAGGCCCCCCACAUUGUCUGCUCCAGCAUGUAUGAAUAGGACAUCAAGCAACAGAGAUGAGUGAGAUAGACUUUUCAGUUAUAUUGGUGUAGUGUGUUCAUCUUUGGUAAGGAUUACUUCUAAAAAGUAGACAUAGGACUGAAAUUAUAAAGCCCUUACCCCUUGUUUUUUUUUCUGUGGGCCUACAGGUGGAGGCCACAGGCUGAAGGGAGGGUUGCACAACGUCCUCUCCCUGCGACAUUAAUGAGCAAGAAAAUGAAUUGUCUUUAAUUUAAUAGGAUUUUACUUUGAAAGGAUGAAUAAAAUUUUUUUGAUGAAAUUCUUAGAUUAUUAAAAUAUCUACCCCAAAGGUACCUCUGAAUACACUGAAUAGUGUCUCCUAAUCAUUGAUCUCCACCUGUGGAAUAGUUAACAGUAUAUGACAACUCUCUUUGACAGUCACCUCUGUGUGGGGGUCACCAAGGGUGUGUGCUGGCGGCUUGAGCAACUUCACAGUGUCUCCCUCAACUGUAAAUUAGAUUAAGACUUUUCUCACCUUGUCACACCGUGGUGAGGUUGUCUUGUCUGGGCUUACUGUGUCUUGUCAUUUCCUGUUUUAUUUUGAAAUGCCUAACUCUCCUCUCGUUUCAGAACACUUGCCCUUCCUCAUGUCUCCUGUGUGCCCUCAUGAUUACCAAUUGUCUCCACCUGUUCCCCAUUUUCCCCCACAGUUCAAAUAGUCUGUCUUCCCCUUGUCUUGUGCCAGUGUGUCGUCGAUUCGUGUCUCACACCAGGGCACAAUUUCUAUACGCGUUAGCCCUUUUUCCCCAUAGCCUUUUAUUCUUUCCUCUGCAUGAGUGACUUUUUGUUUGUAAAUUCUUUGGAUAGAUUAAUGUUCAUAGCUUUUGUGAUUUUUGAGUUUUAAUAACGUUUUCAUAGAAGUACCUUGAUCCUCCGCUUAGUAGCGUGAGUGAGUUUCUCUUUUUUUAUUAGUCAGGUUUUUCCUCCCUACUGAGUGUUUUUUGUUUUCCCCCUUUUUUCCUUGUGACAUCCCUUUAAGUUAAUGUUUCAUAGCCCUGUUUCCUUUUUUCACUUGGGUCUGAGAUCAUUGCUGCCAAGAAUAAAGUCUGUGUCUUACAAAGCCUCUGCAUCUGAGUCCUAUCUGAGUCCUGGCCUGACACACCUGAGAAACAAUAAAUAUGCAUUUGGUAUUUUACCACCAAAGCACUUAUACAUACCCUGGAAAAAGAAUAGCUGCUGGGAG